UACGUAGGGUGCGAGCGUUAAUCGGAAUUACUGGGCGUAAAGCGUGCGCAGGCGGUUUUGUAAGCCAGAUGUGAAAUCCCCGGGCUCAACCUGGGAAUGGCAUUUGGGACUGCAAGGCUCGAGUGCGGCAGAGGAGACUGGAACUCCUGGUGUAGCAGUGAAAUGCGUAGAUAUCAGGAGGAAUACCGAUGGCGAAGGCAGGUCUCUGGGCUGACACUGACGCUCAUGCACGAAAGCGUGGGUAGCAAACAGG
This 253-nucleotide ribosomal RNA is filed under the name uncultured bacterium. RNAcentral describes it as "partial 16S ribosomal RNA". It matches the Rfam family "Bacterial small subunit ribosomal RNA", at positions 524 to 776 of the family's 1533-position model. The record is from RNAcentral.